UCCUUGUGUGAGAGAUUUUAUUUUUGUUACUAAAAUUUUAUGAGAGCAAUAUUUAUACAAUAAGUUCUUUCUGGAUCGCAUCCGCAAUGCCACAAAAUAAAUUAAGAGGAUACAAAUGAAGUGAAAUGAUUGGCUCACUUAUAACAGAAUCGAUCUUGUGGAUUGUAAUGUUAUUAUUAUCUAUCUUGUUUCAGAUUUUGCUGAUUGGACUUGGGAGGAGUUCAAUUUGAUUUCUUUUAAAUUAAGAGGAUACAAAACUCUUACCACUAAUGGUUUCUUUUAUUGUCACAAUUUGAUUGGAAGAUGGAAACAAUGAUAGCAAAGGGUUGCAGUGAAGGCAAAGCGUCUCGAGUUUUAUGUGUCUGGUGAAGAGGUUAGCUUUUAUUGGGUUUCUUUCCUGCAUCCUGGUAUUUAGUUUGGGAUAAUAUUUGAUUUCCCUGAUGUGGGCGCUGAAGUUUAACAUUUGAUUUGUGACUGUGCUUUGGGUUUAGAGUCAGUUAACCUUCUCUAAUUUGGUUGCAUUUAUUUUGUUUUGUGUCAUGUGACAAAGCCUUGAGCAAAUUGGUAAUAGAGCAGAACACCUUAGGAUUCAUUCAAAUAUAUAUUUAUAUUUAAGUACUGAUAUUGAGGUGGAAAUCUGGAUUUCUUCUGAUAAAUUUUGCUGCUAGCAUUCUUCUUGCUAUAUUAUUUUCUGUUUUAUACAUGAAUUUUUAUUGAAGUUAUUGUCUGGGUCCUAUUAAGCAAUUAUUUCAUAUAAUAGCCUUAACUUGCGAGAACGGUAUGGUGAAGUCUAGAUACUUGUAUGCUUUUUUAUCUUAAUUUAGUUUUCAGGACAUAUUGAAGAAAGCUCAGUUUCUUUUCCCUCGUGCUAUGGUUGUUGAUUCAAUACAAACUCUUGAUCCUAUUAACACUUGGUUAGAGCAAAAUAUUAAGUUGAAUGAUGCUGAGCACAAGUUAAAAGAUCAAAGACGUCAACUAAAGGUUCAACAGAAAAGAAUUGGUUCUACUAAAAAGACAAUUCAUGCUUUGUAUAAAAAGUUGAAUCUCCUACUUCCUUCAACUUUGUCUGAUCCUACAGAAGAUGAGCUUAGGACAGGCUCUAGUGAUGAUGAGGAUGAUAACAUAAGUGAUUGAUGUCAGGAGUAUAUA
This is a non-coding RNA of Arachis ipaensis, 1149 nucleotides long. NCBI's taxonomy places the organism in Eukaryota, Viridiplantae, Streptophyta, Magnoliopsida, Fabales, Fabaceae. The record is from RefSeq and is a predicted model, not a curated record.